GUACCCUAGAGUGGGGGAUAACGUAGCGAAAGUUACGCUAAUACCGCAUACGAUCUACGGAUGAAAGUGGGGGAUCGCAAGACCUCAUGCUCGUGGAGCGGCCGAUAUCUGAUUAGCUAGUUGGUAGGGUAAAAGCCUACCAAGGCAUCGAUCAGUAGCUGGUCUGAGAGGACGACCAGCCACACUGUGUUUGAGAAACGGUCCAGGCUCGUACGGGAGGCAGCAGUGGGGAAUGGGGGACAAUGGGCGAAAGCC
RNAcentral lists this ribosomal RNA (255 nucleotides) under uncultured bacterium. RNAcentral describes it as "partial 16S ribosomal RNA". It matches the Rfam family "Bacterial small subunit ribosomal RNA", at positions 126 to 383 of the family's 1533-position model. The record is from RNAcentral.